AUGUUGUCGGCUGCCACAAGAGCAAAAGUCCGUCGGGCGGUGCCUCUGUGGGGUCUCCCAGCCAACGACGAUGAAAUGAAGCUACAAGACCAGCCUGCUCUGUCUAGGGAUGCGGCAACCAUCACUGGACAGAAAUUCCUAUUCUUGAGCCUUGAGUUCUCUCCUCUCCCAGCUUGCACUCGUGACUGGCCGGAGAGCAACUACCGCAUUCAUGGUUUCAUCAAAGUUUCCACCAUUCUGAUUCUUCUUCUGCCUCCUAGAGUACCCGCUAUUCUAGCGCCAUCGCGGACUCGGAUGAAUCCGGUGCGCACAUUCUACCCUGCACUGUACCUGUUUGGUCCUUUUAAUCUUGCUGUCAAACAUCCUGACGUCCGUUUUUCUGUACGUUGGUUGCUUGAGUUAGACCGAAUGACGGCUGGGCCACUCUUGUGCGCGGGGCCAGCAAUUCAGCUUCUACUGCGGCUGUCGCGCGCGUGCGCUAGCGGUGAACGUGGGUGGCAGGGUGCGGGGUGGGAUGAAUAUUUUUUACCGUCCUGGCCUAGACCCGGCUGCGACUCCUCUGUUUCAGCCAUGAUGGGCCCAACUGUCGGUCUUUUGGGUGGCCAGUUGUUGGUUGGCGAGACUUGGGUGGGUGGAUGGUGCGUCGCUGCUUUUUUACCCGCCGUGUCUAUACCCAGCUGUGUUGGUGGCCCCUGCUUCGGGGUGGUCCCGUAUGGCAGCGUUUUGGGUGUUUGGGAGGUGUGCGCUUGCUUGUGUUGCCUGCCAGGGACCGUGCGACGCGGCGUGGGAUGGGUCACGUGGGGUGCAAUUCUGCUUUUCUACUCGCUCUUCAUCUACCUAGCUGUUUCGGUGUCCCUCUGCUCUUUUGGUCCCACAUUGCAUGUUCCCCGCUUCACUCCCCUCUCCCUCCUCUUUGAUUCCCCAUCCACCGCCGCCUCCUCUCAUGCCUCACCGCCGGCCUCCUCUAUGCCUCUUCCUCUACCUCUCGGACGACGCCUAGCUACGACGCUCAAUGGCCGCCCGUGCGACAUCCUGCAUCUGGCGCGGGAGCGUGUGGUGGUGACGAGCCGAGCCGUCUUUGUGACGGCGUCCGGACGGGGCCGGGCGCAAGGCGGAGCUGCGGCCGGCGACCCGGCACCGGCGCAUGCCCGGCGGUGGGACCAUCUUCGCCGUGGCCGGUGGGGGGUUGGGCGGCAGCAAGCGGUGCAGCGAGGGGAGGCGCACGGGCGAGAGGGAUCGAGAUGGAUGGCGCGACGACGACCAUGGCACAGGUCGACUUGGGAGCGCAUCCGGCAUCCCGGUGGCCAUGGUCGUGAUGUGAUCCACCCUGUGAAGAGGGUAAUUUCUGCUUGUGAUUUGGGCAAGGAUCUGGGUGCUCUUCGUUUGCUCACUGUGUUUGUUCCUAGGUUAGCACCGCUGUUGUCAGCGGGUAGAAUGGUCGACUGGCCAUGGAGCCCUCUGCGAGCAGGUGAUUCUGGUCACCUCCGGCGCCGUCGGCAUCGGGAGGUAGAGGCUCAUGUACCGAAAGCUCAUCGACAGCAGAACCCACAGUUCGACCUGGAUGGGAAGGCCUACGCUGCCGUCGGCCAGAGUGGCCUCAUGGCUAUCUACGAUACACUGCUUAGCCAAGUGGGUUUGCUAAUUGUUGUUCUUUCUUUUGUUGUUGUUGUUGUUGAGAUAUGUUGUUCGUCGUCUGUGUUGUUAGCCAGCAAGUCUGUGUCGUUAGCCAGCAAGCCAUGGUUGACACACGUAUUAAGUGGCAGUUACUCCGUACACAUAGAGGGACGGUUUGGUGGGGAGAGGUUUAUGAAGGCCUACUGGAAUUAA
RNAcentral lists this ribosomal RNA (1827 nucleotides) under Triticum aestivum (bread wheat). RNAcentral describes it as "partial small subunit ribosomal RNA". Lineage: Eukaryota; Viridiplantae; Streptophyta; Magnoliopsida; Poales; Poaceae. The record is from RNAcentral.